GAUGAACGCUGGCGGCGUGCCUAAUACAUGCAAGUCGAGCGAACAGACGAGGAGCUUGCUCCUCUGACGUUAGCGGCGGACGGGUGAGUAACACGUGGAUAACCUACCUAUAAGACUGGGAUAACUUCGGGAAACCGGAGCUAAUACCGGAUAAUAUAUUGAACCGCAUGGUUCAAUAGUGAAAGACGGUUUUGCUGUCACUUAUAGAUGGAUCCGCGCCGCAUUAGCUAGUUGGUAAGGUAACGGCUUACCAAGGCAACGAUGCGUAGCCGACCUGAGAGGGUGAUCGGCCACACUGGAACUGAGACACGGUCCAGACUCCUACGGGAGGCAGCAGUAGGGAAUCUUACGCAAAGGGCGAAAGCCUGACGGAGCAACGCCGCGUGAGUGAUGAAGGUCUUCGGAUCGUAAAACUCUGUUAUUAGGGAAGAACAAAUGUGUAAGUAACUAUGCACGUCUUGACGGUACCUAAUCAGAAAGCCACGGCUAACUACGUG
Molecule: ribosomal RNA, 497 nt
Filed under: uncultured bacterium
Lineage: Bacteria
Description: partial 16S ribosomal RNA
Rfam family: Bacterial small subunit ribosomal RNA
Source: RNAcentral